GCUUGACAAGAACAAGCUCACUGGCUCACCUCUUGGUGUUAGCUGAGCUGCUGCUCAUCAUUGAAAAGAAUUAACAUGUCAUCCAAUCGGCUUUUAGGUCAGUUACCCUCUGGAUUAUGGUCAUUGAGUUUACUUUGAUUACUUGAUUUAUUGGAUAACUCAUCCGAGGGUGAAAUUCCAAAAAGGAUUGAGAGUGCGUAUAAUUUUGAAGCAAUUAGUUUGCAAAAGAACAAGUUUAUAGGCUGGCUGCCUGAAUAUAUUGGAAAUUGUUUGCUGCUGAAGGCUAUUGAUUUGGCGAUAAUUAUUUCAAUGGGGGCCUUCCUAUAUCAAUGUGAAAACUUGGAUUGUGCUGAUAUCUUGAUGUCAGUGGCAAUUCAUUGAUGGGGGAAUUUCCAGUCUGGAUUGGAGAUACAAUAAGCCUGGAGUUCUUGGAUCUUUCUGACGGUAACUUGGCGAGAUACAAAACUCCAUAGGAAAUCUUCAACGUAAACUUGUCAAGAAAUCAGUUUGUAGAAAGCUUACUAGAGUCUCUUAUAAAUUGCGUAAACCUUAAGGUCCUUGAUCUUGGCCAAAAUUUGUUCACUGGUUCAGUCACCGUGGCAAUUGCAAACCUAUCCAACCUUGAUGUAAUCGAUUUGUUCUUCAGUCACUUCACCGAAAGUUUACUGAAAGAACUUAUAGAUCUUUCCGCCCUUGUCACCUUCAAUGUUUCCUACAAUCGAACAUCUCCCAGUUGAACUUCCAGGCUAUGGCUUCUUCGACUACAUCGCCUUCCUCGUCCGUCAUUGGUUAUCCGCUCCUAUGUGGCUCUGUUGUCAAGCAAUCAUGCCCUUCAGAAUGUUGUCAAGCAAUCCGCUCCAGGGUAACUUCCGUUCACUAGGCAAUUCCAACAGUAAAGCUUGGUUUGAUUUGUGCGUCUCAUCAAACCAUCCAAACAUGGAUGGGGUGAUCAGAAUGUUAGAACUAAUCCAAUGUACUUCAGAAAGCCAAGACGAACUCGAAUGAUCUUACAUCAAAAAGAUCGAUAUAAGCAAUAAAAGAUGGGCAAAUAGGAAUACAGUUUGUUGGUUAGAUAUGCGAAGAAAAACAUCAGUCAAGGAUUUUCUUCAACCUUGUGUUAUUUUACUUAGUCUCUUCUAUAAAACUUUUGGUUCUUUUUGGUGUCGAAGUAUAUCUUUUAAUGCAUUUAUGGUACAGGAACAUUCCUCUACUAAUAUGUUUUAUUGAG
RNAcentral lists this long non-coding RNA (1228 nucleotides) under Olea europaea subsp. europaea. Lineage: Eukaryota; Viridiplantae; Streptophyta; Magnoliopsida; Lamiales; Oleaceae. The record is from RNAcentral.